Otolemur garnettii (small-eared galago) is the source of this 102-nucleotide unclassified non-coding RNA. It matches the Rfam family "Y RNA". From Rfam's summary of the family: Y RNAs are components of the Ro ribonucleoprotein particle (Ro RNP), in association with Ro60 and La proteins. The Y RNAs and Ro60 and La proteins are well conserved, but the function of the Ro RNP is not known. NCBI's taxonomy places the organism in Eukaryota, Metazoa, Chordata, Mammalia, Primates, Galagidae. The record is from Ensembl.
GGCUGGUCCAAGUACAGUGGUAUUUACAACUAAUUGACCACAACCAGUUACAGAUUUUGUUGUGCCCUCUCCACUCCUACUGUGUCACUUGACUAGCCUUAA